Molecule: ribosomal RNA, 482 nt
Filed under: uncultured bacterium
Lineage: Bacteria
Description: partial 16S ribosomal RNA
Rfam family: Bacterial small subunit ribosomal RNA
Source: RNAcentral
AUUGAACGCUGGCGGCAUGAUUUACACACGCAAGCCGAACGGUAACAGGCCGCAAGGUGCUGACGAGUGGCGAACGGGUGAGUAAUGCAUCGGAACGUGCCCAGUCGUGGGGGAUAACUACUCGAAAGAGUAGCUAAUACCGCAUACGAUCUAUGGAUGAAAGCGGGGGACCGUAAGGCCUCGCGCGAUUGGAGCGGCCGAUGUCAGAUUAGGUAGUUGGUGGGGUAAAGGCUCACCAAGCCAACGAUCUGUAGCUGGUCUGAGAGGACGACCAGCCACACUGGGACUGAGACACGGCCCAGACUCCUACGGGAGGCAGCAGUGGGGAAUUUUGGACAAUGGGCGCAAGCCUGAUCCAGCAAUGCCGCGUGCAGGAAGAAGGCCUUCGGGUUGUAAACUGCUUUUGUACGGAACGAAACGGCUCUGGUUAAUACCCGGGGCUAAUGACGGUACCGUAAGAAUAAGCACCGGCUAACUACGUG